GAUGAACGCUAGCGGCAGGCCUAACACAUGCGAGUCGAGGGGGAGGUUACUUUCGGGUAACUGAGACCGGCGUACGGGUGCGUAACGCGUAUACAAUCUGCCUUUCACUGGGGGAUAGCCCGAAGAAAUUUGGAUUAAUACCCCAUAGUAUAGUAAUACGGCAUCGUGAUGCUAUUAAAGCUUAGGUGGUGAAAGAUGAGUAUGCGUUCUAUUAGCUAGUUGGAGAGGUAACGGCUCCCCAAGGCGAUGAUAGAUAGGGGUUCUGAGAGGGAUGUCCCCCACACUGGUACUGAGAUACGGACCAGACUCCUACGGGAGGCAGCAGUGAGGAAUAUUGGACAAUGGUCGGAAGACUGAUCCAGCCAUGCCGCGUGCAGGAUGAAGGUCUUAUGGAUUGUAAACUGCUUUUGUAAGGGAAGAAUAAGGGCUACGCGUAGUUUGAUGACGGUACCUUACGAAUAAGCAUCGGCUAACUCCGUG
This 480-nucleotide ribosomal RNA is filed under the name uncultured bacterium. RNAcentral's name for it is "partial 16S ribosomal RNA". It matches the Rfam family "Bacterial small subunit ribosomal RNA", at positions 28 to 507 of the family's 1533-position model. The record is from RNAcentral.